RNAcentral lists this ribosomal RNA (449 nucleotides) under uncultured prokaryote. Its description in RNAcentral is "bacterial SSU rRNA". It matches the Rfam family "Bacterial small subunit ribosomal RNA", at positions 355 to 796 of the family's 1533-position model. The record is from RNAcentral.
UGGGGAAUAUUGGACAAUGGGCGAAAGCCUGAUCCAGCAAUGCCGCGUGGGUGAAGAAGGCCUGCGGGUUGUAAAGCCCUUUCAGUGGGGAGGAAGAGGUGAGUGCGAAUAGUGCUUGCUGAUGACGUUACCCACAGAAGAAGCACCGGCUAACUCCGUGCCAGCAGCCGCGGUAAUACGGAGGGUGCGAGCGUUAAUCGGAAUUACUGGGCGUAAAGCGCGCGUAGGCGGCGCGAUAAGUCAGAUGUGAAAGCCCCGGGCUUAACCUGGGAAUGGCAUUUGAUACUGUAGAGCUAGAGUGUGACAGAGGAUCGAGGAAUUCCCGGUGUAGCGGUGAAAUGCGUAGAGAUCGGGAGGAACACCAAUGGCGAAGGCAACGGUCUGGGUCAACACUGACGCUGAGGUGCGAAAGCGUGGGGAGCAAACAGGAUUAGAUACCCCCGUAGUCC